UGGGGAAUAUUGGACAAUGGGCGAAAGCCUGAUCCAGCCAUGCCGCGUGUGUGAAGAAGGUCUUCGGAUUGUAAAGCACUUUAAGUUGGGAGGAAGGGCAGUAAGCGAAUACCUUGCUGUUUUGACGUUACCGACAGAAUAAGCACCGGCUAACUCUGUGCCAGCAGCCGCGGUAAUACAGAGGGUGCAAGCGUUAAUCGGAAUUACUGGGCGUAAAGCGCGCGUAGGUGGUUCGUUAAGUUGAAUGUGAAAGCCCCGGGCUCAACCUGGGACCUGCAUCCAAAACUGGCGAGCUAGAGUAGGGCAGAGGGUGGUGGAAUUUCCUGUGUAGCGGUGAAAUGCGUAGAUAUAGGAAGGAACACCAGUGGCGAAGGCGACCACCUGGGCUCAUACUGACACUGAGGUGCGAAAGCGUGGGGAGCAAACAGG
RNAcentral lists this ribosomal RNA (429 nucleotides) under Pseudomonadota bacterium. RNAcentral's name for it is "Proteobacteria bacterium partial 16S ribosomal RNA". It matches the Rfam family "Bacterial small subunit ribosomal RNA", at positions 355 to 776 of the family's 1533-position model. Lineage: Bacteria; Pseudomonadati; Pseudomonadota. The record is from RNAcentral.